GAUGAAGAACGUAGCGAAAUGCGAUAAGUAGUGUGAAUUGCAGAAUUCAGUGAAUCAUCGAAUCUUCGAACGCACAUUGCGCCCCUUGGUAUUCCAUGGGGCAUGCCUGUUCGAGCGUCAUUUGUACCUUCAAGCUUUGCUUGGUGUUGGGUGUUUGUCUCGCCUUUGCGUGUAGACUCGCCUUAAAAUAAUUGGCAGCCGGCGUAUUGAUUUCGGAGCGCAGUACAUCUCGCGCUUUGCACUCAUAACGACAGCGUCCAAAAGUACAUUUUACACUCUUGACCUCGGAUCAGGUAGGGAUACCCGCUGAACUUAAGCAUAUCAAUAAGCGGAGGA
This 336-nucleotide unclassified non-coding RNA is filed under the name soil metagenome. RNAcentral's name for it is "partial contains 5.8S ribosomal RNA, internal transcribed spacer 2, and large subunit ribosomal RNA". The stretch from base 1 to 120 matches the Rfam family "5.8S ribosomal RNA", at positions 35 to 154 of the family's 154-position model. The record is from RNAcentral.